AAGUGGAAGACUGAGUCGGAGAGAUACUGCCAGCUGCCACGAUGACAAACAGCAUGUGAAGAUGCCGAACUGGCAUGAAGUUUCCUCAAAACACUGGAAUUAAAACUAUCAUGUGUUGGUUACACCCCUUCUGGGUAUAAGCCCAAAGAAUGCUAAGUCAGUACACCACAGAGACCCUCACGUAGCCAUGUUUACUGAGCACAGUAGCCAAGUUAUGCAAUCAGUUGAGGUGUCCAGAAGGCAAUGGGAUAAAGCAAAUUGGAUCAACAGUGGAAUUUCAUUCAGCUGUGAAAAAGACUGAAAUUAUGCCAUUUCCUGAAAAAUGGAUGUAACUGAAUAUCAACAUAUUAAAUGAAGAAGGAGAAUGAAAGAAUUGAGAAGACUAGCAGAUGGAGAAGGAGAGGAGACACUAAAGACUGAACGCAAGAGGUCAGGAAGGGGGUAAAUACGGUCAAAGCACAUGCUAUAAUUUGAAAGAAAUGAUCUUUAUGAAACUUGACAUUUUGUUUCUGAAUAUAUGCCACAAAAAUAAACUUCUUCCAGGAGUCAGUUUGUAUCAGAAAACCCUAUUAUGAUAUAGAGAGUAAUCAAUAACAGUUGAUUGAGUGGUAGAGCUUCUGAAACUACUAAAGUAACUAUUGUAUCACAACAGACCACUAAGGACAUUCUUAGAUGCAAAGGUUUGAUUAUCAAGAGUUGAUGGAUUUGGGUUUAAGUUCUUUUAAUGUAAACAUGAGCAACUGUAUUUGUAAUGUCCACAAUUUAUGUAAUAAAUAGUGUAAUGUGUGAUAAAUGACCUUAUUUAAGGCAGCAUACCUCAUCCUCACAUUGAGGCAAAGGAUCACAUUGUCCUGUGUCUCUGGAUGUUUCAUUACCAUUUUAAUGGUCUUUGCAAUGGGCUUUGAGUUUCAUCUUUGGUUUGAGCCUGGCAUGCCAACUGGAGUGACAAAUAUGUGCACAAAGCCUUCUGCUUCAAACUGAGUAAACACCAGUGGUUCAAAUGUCAAGUGCCGAGAAGAAAGUUGAAGAGAACAAGGAUCUGUGAAAAGACCCAUGAGCAGGAAAUAAUAAACACAGUUUGUAUUAACUCAGUGCUUCAUUCAGAACUGCAAAAUUCACCAGUGUUCAGUUCUCAUCUCAUCAUCACAGGUCUUUGAACAGAGAAGAUGGUCGUUGCCAUUCUGUAGAUAGAUAAAGCUAAUGUAGCGUACAUGUACAAUGAGGUUGUGCACACGUAACUGAAGCUUCCAGAUGGGAGGGCUUUUGAUCUUUUUUGCAAAGAUCAAAGAUAGAGCCUGGGUUCAUCCUGAAGAUUCUGUUAUCAGUCUGAGCUUUGGUUCCAUCCUUGCACCAACAAGCCCCAAACCUCCAAGCAACAUGGAUCAUCUUACAGUAAUAGCUGUACAGCUGUACUGGUUAGGGUUGUUGUCAACCUGACCAAACCCAGAGCCACCUGAGCAGAGGUAACCUCAAUUGGGAAAUUGCUAGGGUCACAUUGGCCUGUAGCUAUGUCUGUGACAGAGUGUGUUGACUGAUGUUUGAAAUGUGAGGAACCAGCCUACUGUGUGUGACACCAUCCCCACACAAGUAAGCCUUGACUGUAUAAGAAUGCUAGUUAAGCAAGAGCUAGUGAGUGAGCCAAUAAGUAGCUUUCCACCACGGCUCCUAUCUUCAGGCUUCUGCCUUAACUUCCUGCCCUGACGUCCAUUAGUGAUGGACCUGGAAGUGUAAGCCAAAUAAACCUUUUCCUUCUCAAGUUGCUUUUGAUGAUGGUGUUUAUCACAGCAACAAAAACCAAACCAGAAUAGCCACUGAAAGCCCACCCAAUUUCAUAGUAGGUUUUCACUAACUCUUUUGUUUUAGGCACUUGUGAGUAUAGUUGGAGGAAGAAGAUGCAAUGAAAAAAAAAUUCCAUGAUUUCACCUUGCAAACUAACUUCAUGGUCACUCUCAAAAGCGUCUACAGCUUCUGGGACCACCUCAUUUUCAUCUUAUUUGUUCUUCUUUCCAAAUAAGGCAGCUUUCCCCAUUCUUCUUCCUCAUUGCUCACUGCCUUCCUCCAGAAGCAUCCAGGAGUUAGUUGUGGUGCUCAUAGGCUUGCCUGGCUCUCACCUCUAGUUCUCAUGUUAGAAGGACAUGGUGAUUCUUCACAAUGGGUGGUUGCAUGGCUUUCAUUUAUGUGCUUGGAGGAGGUUAGUCAUUUCCUGGUUGCUACUAAAUUAGAAACAGGAAUGGCUGGCUGAGAGGCAUAUUGAGUUUUCAUCUCUUGCUGCCCAAUAAAACACCAACUGAGUAAUGAUGCCACAAACGGGAGUAGUUUCUCAAGUUUUGGACUGUCAAUGUUUGCUUUUCUUUUCAAUUACUUUUUUUUUCAUAGUGAUCUUUCAGUCCACUGACUACAGUACCUGUAAUUGCAAUCUCACUUCUCAGAGACUAGGGGCAUUUGUUUGCACAGUAACAUCUGCAGCACCACAUAGAACUGGUCAUUGCAUUAGUAGCCCAAAUUUUUAGACUUGUCUCAGGGCACAGACAUCAUGCCUUGGAAAAAUUACUUACAUAAUUUGCUUCUGAUGCUAACCCAUGCUGCUUUGCUUGUUUUUCUCACGUCUUAACUGGGAAUUUGAGAAUAUCUUUCAUAAUAGCAUUUUAAACGGUUUUACUCACAUUUCAUAUUUUGUAAGUCCAGAGAUUUCAUUUUGUGAAUAGUGACAAAAAUUCACGAAAUGAAUUCACUUCAGAGCCUUCCUUGGUGGUA
Molecule: long non-coding RNA, 2754 nt
Organism: Peromyscus californicus insignis
Lineage: Eukaryota; Metazoa; Chordata; Mammalia; Rodentia; Cricetidae
Exons: 3
Source: RefSeq, a predicted model, not a curated record